RNAcentral lists this ribosomal RNA (420 nucleotides) under bacterium. RNAcentral describes it as "partial 16S ribosomal RNA". It matches the Rfam family "Bacterial small subunit ribosomal RNA", at positions 355 to 776 of the family's 1533-position model. The record is from RNAcentral.
UGGGGGAUAUUGCACAAUGGGCGAAAGCCUGAUGCAGCGACGCCGCGUGGGGGAUGAAGGCUUUCGGGUUGUAAACCUCUUUCGCUAUCGAACAAGGCCCGCUUAGGGUGGGUUGAGGGUAGGUGGAGAAGAAGCGCCGGCUAACUACGUGCCAGCAGCCGCGGUAAUACGUAGGGCGCGAGCGUUGUCCGGAAUUAUUGGGCGUAAAGGGCUUGUAGGCGGCUUGUUGCGCCUGCUGUGAAAACGCGGGGCUUAACUUCGCGCGUGCAGUGGGUACGGGCAGGCUUGAGUGUGGUAGGGGUGACUGGAAUUCCAGGUGUGGCGGUGGAAUGCGCAGAUAUCUGGAGGAACACCGAUGGCGAAGGCAGGGCACUGGGCCAUUACUGACGCUGAGGAGCGAAAGCAUGGGUAGCGAACAGG